UAAGUUCCCCCUUAGCCCCCUCCCCCAGGCAAGCACCCAAACUUCCAUGUAGCAAGCUAAGAGCUAUUUAAAGGGGGUACAGCCCCUUUAAAAAAGAAUACAACCUCUACUAGCGGAUAACAACCCCCCCGUCUCACACCUGUGGGCCUUAAAGCAGCCACCCCUAAAGAGUGCGUCAAAGCUCUCAACCAAAAAAUCCAAAAACACAUGCGACUCCCUACACCCCUAGCAGGCUAACCUAUGACAAUAGAUGAAUCAAUGCUAAAACGAGUAACCAGGAUACCACAUCCCCUUAAGCGCCAACCUACAAGCCAUUAAACAGCAUAAUCAGCAAUACCCCCUCCCCCCCUUAACCAAACAUUGGAUAUAUCCUGUCAACCCAACCCAGGAGCGCACAUUAGGACGAUUAAAAUCUGCAAAAGGAACUCGGCAAACCCAAGGCCCGACUGUUUACCAAAAACAUAGCCUUCAGCCCAAACAAGUAUUGAAGGUGAUGCCUGCCCAGUGACAUUACGUUUAACGGCCGCGGUAUCCUAACCGUGCAAAGGUAGCGCAAUCAAUUGUCCCAUAAAUCGAGACUUGUAUGAAUGGCUAAACGAGGCCUUAACUGUCUCUUGCAGACAAUCAAUGAAACUGAUCUCCCUGUGCAAAAGCAGGGAUAAACACAUAAGACGAGAAGACCCUGUGGAACUUUAAAAUCAAUAGCCACUACACACUUAACCUAAGCCUACCAGGUCCACCGCCCGAAACACUGGCUAACAUUUUUAGGUUGGGGCGACCUUGGAGAAAAACAAAUCCUCCAAAAACAGGGCCAAACCCCCUAACCAAGAGCAACCCCUCAACGUGCCAAUAGCACCCAGACCCAAUAAAAUUGACCAAUGAACCAAGCUACCCCAGGGAUAACAGCGCAAUCUCCCCCAAGAGCCCCUAUCGACGGGGAGGUUUACGACCUCGAUGUUGGAUCAGGACAUCCUAGUGGUGCAACCG
This 987-nucleotide ribosomal RNA is filed under the name Coracopsis vasa (Greater vasa parrot). RNAcentral's name for it is "partial 16S ribosomal RNA". It matches the Rfam family "Bacterial large subunit ribosomal RNA", at positions 920 to 2561 of the family's 2925-position model. The record is from RNAcentral. Lineage: Eukaryota; Metazoa; Chordata; Aves; Psittaciformes; Psittacidae.